CCUACGGGAGGCUGCAGUGGGGAAUAUUGGACAAUGGGCGAAAGCCUGAUCCAGCCAUGCCGCGUGUGUGAAGAAGGCCUUCUGGUUGUAAAGCACUUUCAGUGGGGAAGAAAGCCUUGGGGCUAAUACCCUCGAGGAAGGACAUCACCCACAGAAGAAGCACCGGCUAACUCCGUGCCAGCAGCCGCGGUAAUACGGAGGGUGCGAGCGUUAAUCGGAAUUACUGGGCGUAAAGCGCGCGUAGGCGGUCUGAUAAGCCGGUUGUGAAAGCCCCGGGCUCAACCUGGGAACGGCAUCCGGAACUGUCAGGCUAGAGUGCAGGAGAGGAAGGUGGAAUUCCCGGUGUAGCGGUGAAAUGCGUAGAGAUCGGGAGGAAUACCAGUGGCGAAGGCGGCCUUCUGGACUGACACUGACGCUGAGGUGCGAAAGCGUGGGUAGCAAACAGGAUUAGAUACCCCAGUAGUC
RNAcentral lists this ribosomal RNA (465 nucleotides) under Vreelandella stevensii. RNAcentral describes it as "partial 16S ribosomal RNA". It matches the Rfam family "Bacterial small subunit ribosomal RNA", at positions 338 to 795 of the family's 1533-position model. The record is from RNAcentral. Lineage: Bacteria; Pseudomonadati; Pseudomonadota; Gammaproteobacteria; Oceanospirillales; Halomonadaceae.